UGUUCAGCAACUCCUAUCCCUACCUCCUCGCGGUACUGGCCGGAGUAUUAGCAAGAUCGGG
RNAcentral lists this ribozyme (61 nucleotides) under Aedes aegypti (yellow fever mosquito). RNAcentral's name for it is "drz-agam-1 ribozyme". It matches the Rfam family "drz-agam-1 ribozyme", at positions 1 to 62 of the family's 82-position model. The record is from Rfam by way of RNAcentral. Lineage: Eukaryota; Metazoa; Arthropoda; Insecta; Diptera; Culicidae.